RNAcentral lists this ribosomal RNA (536 nucleotides) under uncultured archaeon. RNAcentral describes it as "bacterial SSU rRNA". It matches the Rfam family "Archaeal small subunit ribosomal RNA", at positions 177 to 713 of the family's 1478-position model. The record is from RNAcentral.
GCUUUAUGCGUCAAAAGGAUUCGUCUGCCCAAGGAUGGUCUGCGGCCUAUCAGGUAGUAGUGGGUGUAGCGUACCUACUAGCCUACGACGGGUACGGGUGUGAGAGCAAGAGCCCGGAGAUGGAUUCUGAGACACGAAUCCAGGCCCUACGGGGUGCAGCAGGCGCGAAAACUUUACAAUGCUGGCAACAGCGAUAAGGGAACCUCGAGUGCCAGGUUACAAAUCUGGCUGUCGAGAUGCCUGAAAAGCAUUUCAUAGCAAGGGCCGGGCAAGGCCGGUGCCAGCCGCCGCGGUAACACCGGCGGCUCGAGUGGUAACCGUUAUUAUUGGGUCUAAAGGGUCUGUAGCCGGCCGGAUAAGUCUCUUGAGAAAUCUGGCAGCUUAACUGUCAGGCUUUCAGGAGAUACUGUCUGGCUCGAGGCCGGGAGAGGUGAGAGGUACUUCAGGGGUAGGGGUGAAAUCUUGUAAUCCUUGAAGGACCACCAGUGGCGAAGGCGUCUCACCAGAACGGACCUGACGGCAAGGGACGAAAGCUA